This 72-nucleotide transfer RNA is filed under the name Arcobacter venerupis. Its description in RNAcentral is "tRNA-Asn". It matches the Rfam family "tRNA". From Rfam's summary of the family: Transfer RNA (tRNA) molecules are approximately 80 nucleotides in length. Their secondary structure includes four short double-helical elements and three loops (D, anti-codon, and T loops). The record is from RNAcentral. Lineage: Bacteria; Pseudomonadati; Campylobacterota; Epsilonproteobacteria; Campylobacterales; Arcobacteraceae. RNAcentral also lists the same sequence under 3 other names.
UCCGGCAUAGCUCAGCGGUAGAGUAGAUGACUGUUAAUCAUUUGGUCCCAGGUUCGAAUCCUGGUGCCGGAG